CGGGUCAUAAGUUAAUUUAAACUAUCAGUCUUCAAAACUGGAAAUACUAUUAUUUGUUGACCUGA
This 65-nucleotide transfer RNA is filed under the name Planostrea pestigris. Its description in RNAcentral is "tRNA-Trp". Lineage: Eukaryota; Metazoa; Mollusca; Bivalvia; Ostreida; Ostreidae. The record is from RNAcentral.